This 73-nucleotide transfer RNA is filed under the name Dreissena polymorpha. It matches the Rfam family "tRNA". Rfam says of the family: Transfer RNA (tRNA) molecules are approximately 80 nucleotides in length. Their secondary structure includes four short double-helical elements and three loops (D, anti-codon, and T loops). The record is from Rfam by way of RNAcentral. Lineage: Eukaryota; Metazoa; Mollusca; Bivalvia; Myida; Dreissenidae.
GCCAGUCUAGCUCAGUCGGCAGAGCACGAGACUGAUAAACUCGGGGUGGUGGGUUCAAGUAACAUGUUUGGUG